This is a small nuclear RNA of Octodon degus (degu), 107 nucleotides long. The record is from Ensembl. Lineage: Eukaryota; Metazoa; Chordata; Mammalia; Rodentia; Octodontidae.
AUGCUCACUUUGACAGCAUAUAUACUAAAAUUGGACCAAUACAGAGAAGAUUAGCAUGGCCCCUGUGCAAGGAUGGCAUGCAAAUUUGUGAAGCAGCUCACAUUUUU